CUUGUAUCACCUCCGUUCCAAAAUUCUUGUCUUAGAUUUGUCUAGAUAUGGAUGUAUCUAACAUUAAAACGUGACUAGAUACAUCAGUAUCUAGACAAAUCUAAGACAAGAAUUUUGGACAGAGGGAGUAUAUG
This is a non-coding RNA of Triticum aestivum (bread wheat), 134 nucleotides long. The record is from Rfam. NCBI's taxonomy places the organism in Eukaryota, Viridiplantae, Streptophyta, Magnoliopsida, Poales, Poaceae.